Non-coding RNA from Pan troglodytes (chimpanzee), 90 nucleotides. The record is from Rfam. Lineage: Eukaryota; Metazoa; Chordata; Mammalia; Primates; Hominidae.
CCGUCCGGCAUCCUAGGCGGGUCGCUGUGGGACCGCCCUCGUGUCUGUGGCGGUGGGAUCCUGUGGCCGUGUUUUCCUGGUGGCCCGGCC